Molecule: ribosomal RNA, 183 nt
Filed under: uncultured bacterium
Lineage: Bacteria
Description: partial 16S ribosomal RNA
Rfam family: Bacterial small subunit ribosomal RNA
Source: RNAcentral
GCAUGAAGCUGGAAUCGCUAGUAAUCGCGAAUCAGAAUGUCGCGGUGAAUACGUUCCCGGGUCUUGUACACACCGCCCGUCACACCAUGGGAGCCGACAACGCCCGAAGUCAGUGACCUAACCGAGAGGGAGGAGCUGCCGAAGGCGGGGUUGGUAACUGGGGUGAAGUCGUAACAAGGUAAC